Nicotiana tabacum (common tobacco) is the source of this 586-nucleotide long non-coding RNA. RefSeq lists it as uncharacterized. The record is from RefSeq and is a predicted model, not a curated record. NCBI's taxonomy places the organism in Eukaryota, Viridiplantae, Streptophyta, Magnoliopsida, Solanales, Solanaceae.
AAAGAAGUUGUCCUUCAAAGCCUGAUGCAACAUCUUCCACAAGAGCAAUAACAACUACAGGAACACAAUACCCACAACAGAGUAUAAUACUUCCUAAUAGUCAUCAAUUGGAAGUACAAGAAAGAGAAGUAUUGUUGACAGUCAACAAGAAUCUACAAGUAAGGGAGGUGAAGCUAGAGCGAGCAGAAGUAAGUACAAGAGUCAAAGAGUUGUAGGACAUGGUGUAUUUAUAUCUAAGACCGGUUAUAGUUGUGUUAAUCAAGAUUUGCAUAGCAGCAGAUUAGUUACCACACCCACAGUGAUGAAUUCCGUUGAAGUUACAGGUGAUAUUGGGUAUAAGCCUAGCAAGUCUUUGAAGUGGAAAGGAAAGCCAUCUAUUAGUCAAAGAGAACUCCAAAUGAAAAGUACUAUGCAUAGAGUCCAAAAAAAAUCAAAGGCUAUUAAGAUUCAAACAACAUCUCAAACUGGAAAAUCUCCAUCCAAAGAAACAACAUAGGUUUGUUCUCUGAUUAAGUUAGCUUUUUGGUGUAUGCUUGGGAUGUAAUCAGAUAAUUACAACUUUCUUUUUGGUAGUAUUUUGUGUAGA